UGGUGUCCCUCAGGGGGCGACCUGGAGCCGCUGUCACUCACACACACAGACCAGGCUUGUUGCCCCCGAGGACGGCAGUGUAACAGCUGUAGCAGAAGUUUGUCAGGACCUGCAGCCUCUUCCACAGCAGAUCAUCUCUCCACCACCUCCAUCACCUCCAUCUCUCCAUCACCUCCACCACUCCACCACCUCCACCCUCCAUCCCUCCAUCACGUCCAUCACCUCAACCCUCCACCCCUCCAUCACCUCCAUCCCUCCACCCUCCAUCUCUCCAUAACCUCCACCCCUCCACCACCUCCACCCUCCAUCCCUCCAUCACCCCCAUCACCGCCACCGUCCACCCUUCCAUCACCUCCAUCCCUCCACCCUCCAUCCCUGCAUCACGUCCAUCACCUCCACCCUCCAUUCCUCCAUCACGUCCAUCACCUCCACCCUCCAGCCCUCCAUCACCUCCAUCCCUCCACCCUCCAUCCCUCCACCCUCCACCCCUCCAUCACCUCCACCCCUCCACCCUCCAUCACCUCCAUCCCUCCACCCUCCACCCCUCCAUCACCUCCAUCCCUCCACCCCUCCAUCACCUCCAUCCCUCCACCCUCCAUCUCUCCAUCACCUCCACCCCUCCACCCUCCAUCUCUCCACCACCUCCACCCUCCAUCCCUCCACUCUCCACCCCUCCAUCACCUCCAUCCCUCCACCCUUCAUCUCUCCACCCUCCAUCUCUCAUCACCUCCAUCUCUCCAUAACCUCCACCCUCCACCCCUCCAUCACCUCCAUCCCUUCACCCUCCAUAUCUCCAUCACCUCAUCACCUCCAUCACCUCCACCCCUCCAUCCCUCCACCCCUCUACCCUCCAUCCCUCCAUCCAUCACCGCUCCACCCCUCCAUCCAUCCACCCCUCCAUCACCUCCACCCCUCUACCCUCCACCCCUCCACCCUCCAUCCAUCCACCCCUCCACCCUUCACCCAUCCAUCCCUACACCCCUCCACCCUCCAUCCAUCCACCCCUCCACACCCCACAACCCCAUCCAUCCACCCCUCCACCCUUCACCCAUCCAUCCCUACACCCCUCCACCCUCCAUCCAUCCACCCCUCCACACCCCACAACCCCAUCCAUCCACCCCUCCACCCCUCCAUCCAUCCACCCCUCCACCCUCUACCCCUCCAUCCAUCCACCCCUCCACCCCCAUCCAUCCACCCCUCCACCCUCCACCCCUCCAUCACCUCCAUCAUCUCCAUCCAUCCAUCCAUCCAUCCCCCCACCCUCGACCCCUCCACCCCUCCACCCUCCAUCCCUCCCUCCAUCCAUCCACCCCUCUAUCCAUCCACCCCUCCAUCCAUCACCCCUCCACCCCUCCAUCACCUCCACCCCUCCAUCCAUCCACCCCUCCACCUCUUCAACCCUCCAUCACCUCCACCCCUCCAUCUAUCCACCCCUCCACCUCUUCAACCCUCCAUCCAUCCACCCCUCCACCCUCCAUCCAUCAUCCAUCCAUCCCGCCACCCUCCACCCCUCCAUCCCUCCACCCAUCCAUCCCUCCAUCCAUCCAUCCACUCCUCCAUCCAUCCAUCCCUCCAUCCAUCACCCCUCCACCCCUCCAUCCAUCCACCCCUCCACCCCUCCAUCACCUCCACCUCUCCAUCCAUCCACCCCUCCACCUCUUCAACCCUCCAUCCAUCCACCCCUCCACCCCUUCAACCCUCCACCCCUCUCUGGACGCUGCUUCAUCACCUGAACCGUUGGUCCCUCCUGCAGCCACGCACAAAUACUGCCCCCCGCGGCCACCCUCGGUACUACCCCAGCAGAUUUCCUUUCUCUUCCACCUCCACCCUCUUCUUCAACCCUCUCCUCUCUUUCUCCUCCUUCUCUUUGUCUCUUUUGCUGUUUUGUGUCUUAGAGAGGAGGAAGAUGAUGACAUCGCCCAUCAGUUCUGUUGCCCUGCCUCUGAGUGCAGUAGCCCCUCCUCUAGGUAA
Molecule: long non-coding RNA, 1971 nt
Filed under: Takifugu rubripes (torafugu)
Lineage: Eukaryota; Metazoa; Chordata; Actinopteri; Tetraodontiformes; Tetraodontidae
Description: lncRNA (ENSTRUG00000031018.1)
Source: RNAcentral